Molecule: ribosomal RNA, 503 nt
Filed under: uncultured euryarchaeote
Lineage: Archaea; Methanobacteriati; Methanobacteriota
Description: bacterial SSU rRNA
Rfam family: Archaeal small subunit ribosomal RNA
Source: RNAcentral
AAAACUUUACAAUGCGGGAAACCGCGAUAAGGGGACACUGAGUGCCAGCAUAUUAUGUUGGCUGUCCACAUGUAUAAAAACCAUGUGUUAGCAAGGGCCGGGCAAGACCGGUGCCAGCCGCCGCGGUAACACCGGCGGCCCGAGUGGUGAUCACUUUUAUUGGGUCUAAAGGGUCCGUAGCCGGUUUGAUCAGUCCUCUGGGAAAUCUGACAGCUCAACUGUUAGGCUUCCAGGGGAUACUGUCAGACUUGGGACCGGGAGAGGUAAGAGGUACUACAGGGGUAGGAGUGAAAUCUUGUAAUCCCUGUGGGACCACCAGUGGCGAAGGCGUCUCACCAGAACGGGUCCGACGGUGAGGGACGAAAGCUGGGGGCACGAACCGGAUUAGAUACCCGGGUAGUCCCAGCCGUAAACGAUGCUCGCUAGGUGUCAGGGACGGUGCGACCGUUUCUGGUGCCGCAGGGAAGCCGUGAAGCGAGCCACCUGGAAGUACGCCGCAAGGC